This 1490-nucleotide ribosomal RNA is filed under the name uncultured bacterium. RNAcentral describes it as "16S ribosomal RNA". It matches the Rfam family "Bacterial small subunit ribosomal RNA". The record is from RNAcentral.
AGAGUUUGAUCCUGGCUCAGAUUGAACGCUGGCGGCAGGCUUAACACAUGCAAGUCGAACGAUGACUCUCUAGCUUGCUAGAGAAGAUUAGUGGCGGACGGGUGAGUAACAUUUAGGAAUCUGCCUAGUAGUGGGGGAUAGCUCGGGGAAACUCGAAUUAAUACCGCAUACGACCUACGGGUGAAAGGGGGCGCAAGCUCUUGCUAUUAGAUGAGCCUAAAUCAGAUUAGCUAGUUGGUGGGGUAAAGGCCCACCAAGGCGACGAUCUGUAACUGGUCUGAGAGGAUGAUCAGUCACACCGGAACUGAGACACGGUCCGGACUCCUACGGGAGGCAGCAGUGGGGAAUAUUGGACAAUGGGGGCAACCCUGAUCCAGCCAUGCCGCGUGUGUGAAGAAGGCCUUUUGGUUGUAAAGCACUUUAAGCAGGGAGGAGAGGCUAAUGGUUAAUACCCAUUAGAUUAGACGUUACCUGCAGAAUAAGCACCGGCUAACUCUGUGCCAGCAGCCGCGGUAAUACAGAGGGUGCGAGCGUUAAUCGGAAUUACUGGGCGUAAAGCGAGUGUAGGUGGCUCAUUAAGUCACAUGUGAAAUCCCCGGGCUUAACCUGGGAACUGCAUGUGAUACUGGUGGUGCUAGAAUAUGUGAGAGGGAAGUAGAAUUCCAGGUGUAGCGGUGAAAUGCGUAGAGAUCUGGAGGAAUACCGAUGGCGAAGGCAGCUUCCUGGCAUAAUAUUGACACUGAGAUUCGAAAGCGUGGGUAGCAAACAGGAUUAGAUACCCUGGUAGUCCACGCCGUAAACGAUGUCUACUAGCCGUUGGGGUCCUUGAGACUUUAGUGGCGCAGUUAACGCGAUAAGUAGACCGCCUGGGGAGUACGGCCGCAAGGUUAAAACUCAAAUGAAUUGACGGGGGCCCGCACAAGCGGUGGAGCAUGUGGUUUAAUUCGAUGCAACGCGAAGAACCUUACCUGGUCUUGACAUAGUGAGAAUCCUGCAGAGAUGCGGGAGUGCCUUCGGGAAUUCACAUACAGGUGCUGCAUGGCUGUCGUCAGCUCGUGUCGUGAGAUGUUGGGUUAAGUCCCGCAACGAGCGCAACCCUUUUCCUUAUUUGCCAGCGGGUUAAGCCGGGAACUUUAAGGAUACUGCCAGUGACAAACUGGAGGAAGGCGGGGACGACGUCAAGUCAUCAUGGCCCUUACGACCAGGGCUACACACGUGCUACAAUGGUAGGUACAGAGGGUUGCUACACAGCGAUGUGAUGCUAAUCUCAAAAAGCCUAUCGUAGUCCGGAUUGGAGUCUGCAACUCGACUCCAUGAAGUCGGAAUCGCUAGUAAUCGCAGAUCAGAAUGCUGCGGUGAAUACGUUCCCGGGCCUUGUACACACCGCCCGUCACACCAUGGGAGUCUAUUGCACCAGAAGUAGGUAGCCUAACGAAAGAGGGCGCUUACCACGGUGUGGUCGAUGACUGGGGUGAAGUCGUAACAAGGUA